RNAcentral lists this ribosomal RNA (490 nucleotides) under uncultured bacterium. RNAcentral's name for it is "partial 16S ribosomal RNA". It matches the Rfam family "Bacterial small subunit ribosomal RNA", at positions 29 to 507 of the family's 1533-position model. The record is from RNAcentral.
AAUGAACGCUGGCGGCAUGCCUUACACAUGCAAGUCGAACGGCAGCAUGACCUAGCUUGCUAGGUUGAUGGCGAGUGGCGAACGGGUGAGUAAUGCAUCGGAACGUGCCUUUUAGUGGGGGAUAACGUAGCGAAAGUUACGCUAAUACCGCAUAUUCUCUGAGGAGGAAAGCAGGGGGCCUUCGGGCCUUGCGCUAGAAGAGCGGCCGAUGUCGGAUUAGCUAGUUGGUGAGGUAAAGGCUCACCAAGGCAACGAUCCGUAGCGGGUCUGAGAGGAUGAUCCGCCACACUGGGACUGAGACACGGCCCAGACUCCUACGGGAGGCAGCAGUGGGGAAUUUUGGGCAAUGGGCGCAAGCCUGAUCCAGCCAUGCCGCGUGAGUGAAGAAGGCCUUCGGGUUGUAAAGCUCUUUCGGCUGGGAAGAAAUCGCACUCUCUAAUACAGGGUGUGGAUGACGGUACCAGCAUAAGAAGCACCGGCUAACUACGUG